RNAcentral lists this long non-coding RNA (397 nucleotides) under Anas platyrhynchos platyrhynchos (common mallard). RNAcentral's name for it is "lncRNA (ENSAPLG00000026830.1)". Lineage: Eukaryota; Metazoa; Chordata; Aves; Anseriformes; Anatidae. The record is from RNAcentral.
UUGCAGGUGGAAGUUGGAGCCCUUCUUGUGUGGAAAUGCCUUGAUGUCUGAAGGGCCAAGGGCCGAGUCCUGCAGACAGGGCAUGAGGGAGGACUCCUGUCUGAGACCUUUGGGCAGCCUGCUCUCUGUUCUGGAGAUGGGCACCGAGCUGAUGGAAUGUCACACCUGCCAAAGUGUUAAACAUAAAAUAUUUUUAUAUGGCAUCUUUUAUCUCACUGCGUUCUGCAAAGCACUGAAGUGGCACUCUGAACUUCCAGAUGAUGGUUACCGUUACUGCUGGCCCAAGUGGACCUUGCUGUUGGAGUGGUGCUCCUGCAGGAAAGAUGGUUUGAAUCAGUGGGUGCUGUUUUUUGCCCUGAUGAUGCUGAGAAAACACAGACAGGACCAAAAAACCUAA